AACGCGAAGAACCUUACCAGGGUUUGACAUGCACGUGCACCAGCCAGAGAUGGUUGUCCCUUCGGGGCGCGUGCACAGGUGCUGCAUGGCUGUCGUCAGCUCGUGCCGUGAGGUGUUGGGUUAAGUCCCGCAACGAGCGCAACCCUUGUCCUGUGUUGGCAUGCCGCAAGGCGCAACUCGCAGGAGACCGCCAGCGAUAAGCUGGAGGAAGGUGGGGAUGACGUCAAGUCAUCAUGGCCUUUAUGUCCAGGGCCACACACGUGCUACAAUGGGCGGUACAAAGCGCUGCCAACCCGCGAGGGGGAGCUAAUCGCCAAAAACCGUCCUCAGUUCGGAUCGCAGGCUGCAACUCGCCUGCGUGAAGCUGGAAUCGCUAGUAAUGCUAUAUCAGAACGAUAGCGUGAAUACGUUCCCGGGCCUUGUACACACCGGUACUA
This 437-nucleotide ribosomal RNA is filed under the name uncultured bacterium. Its description in RNAcentral is "bacterial SSU rRNA". It matches the Rfam family "Bacterial small subunit ribosomal RNA", at positions 958 to 1398 of the family's 1533-position model. The record is from RNAcentral.